This 253-nucleotide ribosomal RNA is filed under the name uncultured bacterium. RNAcentral's name for it is "partial 16S ribosomal RNA". It matches the Rfam family "Bacterial small subunit ribosomal RNA", at positions 524 to 776 of the family's 1533-position model. The record is from RNAcentral.
UACAGAGGGGGCAAGCGUUGUUCGGAAUUACUGGGCGUAAGGGGCGCGUAGGCGGCCUGCUAAGUCGAACGUGAAAUCCCUGGGCUCAACCCAGGAACUGCGUCCGAUACUGGUUGGCUUGAAUCCGGGAGAGGGACGUGGAAUUCCAGGUGUAGCGGUGAAAUGCGUAGAUAUCUGGAGGAACACCGGUGGCGAAGGCGACGUCCUGGACCGGUAUUGACGCUGAGGCGCGAAAGCCAGGGGAGCAAACGGG